This 25-nucleotide non-coding RNA is filed under the name Mus musculus (house mouse). The record is from RNAcentral. Lineage: Eukaryota; Metazoa; Chordata; Mammalia; Rodentia; Muridae.
UGACUUCCUGAUUUUGCUCAGCUGA